RNAcentral lists this small RNA (1344 nucleotides) under Sarcogyne algoviae. RNAcentral describes it as "eukaryotic LSU rRNA". The stretch from base 747 to 1344 matches the Rfam family "Eukaryotic large subunit ribosomal RNA", at positions 1 to 601 of the family's 3401-position model. Lineage: Eukaryota; Fungi; Ascomycota; Lecanoromycetes; Acarosporales; Acarosporaceae. The record is from RNAcentral.
AGCGGUGCACCCGCAGAAGCCUUGCCGCAGCGACUGGAAACAACUGCACCAGUCUGCCUUAUGCAGGCAACACCACGAUCUUGCUGGGACCCCUGCGCUGCCUGUCAGCUGUGGACACCAGUGGCCUGUAUCACACAGGUUCACAGAUCAAACAGUGGUGGCCAAGCAUCAUUACGGUUGAUGCUCUGGUUGAGAUAUGACCGGUCUCCGCUCUCAUCAGUGGAGAGAAGACGUUCCGUAGGUGAACCUGCGGAAGGAUCAUUACAGAGUUAGGGUCUCUCAGGCCCAACCUCCAACCCGAUGUGUACGUUACCUUUGUUGCUUUGGCGGGCCCGUGGGACGAUUCACCGGCGGCUACAGGCUGCUGAGCGCCCGUCAGAGACCCAUCAAACUCUGUCAACUGUGCAGUCUGAGUACCAAUACAAUAGUUAAAACUUUCAACAACGGAUCUCUUGGUUCUGGCAUCGAUGAAGAACGCAGCGAAAUGCGAUAAGUAAUGUGAAUUGCAGAAUUCAGUGAAUCAUCGAAUCUUUGAACGCACAUUGCGCCCUUUGGUAUUCCGAGGGGCAUGCCUGUUCGAGCGUCAUUACACCACUCAAGCUCUGCUUGGUAUUGGGCCUUCGUCCUCCAUGGAUGUGCCCGGAAAUCAGCGGCGGCAUAGCCUAGCUUCAAGCAGCAUUAGUUAAUCCUUUGCUUUGGAAGCCCAGGUUGAAGUCAGCCAGACAACCUUCAAUUCUUCUCAUGGUUGACCUCGGAUCAGGUAGGGAUACCCGCUGAACUUAAGCAUAUCAAUAAGCGGAGGAAAAGAAACCAACAGGGAUUGCCUCAGUAACGGCGAGUGAAGCGGCAACAGCUCAAAUUUGAAAUCUGGCUCUUUUAGGGUCCGAGUUGUAAUUUGUAGAGGAUGCUUCGGGUAUGGCUCCGGUCUAAGUUCCUUGGAACAGGACGUCACAGAGGGUGAGAAUCCCGUACGUGACCGGCCUCCACGCCUGUGUGAAGCUCCUUCGACGAGUCGAGUUGUUUGGGAAUGCAGCUCCAAAUGGGUGGUAAAUUUCAUCUAAAGCUAAAUAUUGGCCAGAGACCGAUAGCGCACAAGUAGAGUGAUCGAAAGAUGAAAAGCACUUUGGAAAGAGAGUCAAACAGUACGUGAAAUUGUUGAAAGGGAAGCGCUUGCAAUCAGACUUGCCUGCGGGUGAUCAGCCGGUAUUUUUCACCGGUGCACUCACCCGUGGUCAGGCCAGCAUCGGUUUGGGCGGCUGGAUAAAGUCCACCGGAACGUAGCUCCUCUCGGGGAGUGUUAUAGCCGGAGGUGCAAUGCAGCCUGCCCGGACCGAGGACCGCGCU